Molecule: ribosomal RNA, 466 nt
Filed under: uncultured bacterium
Lineage: Bacteria
Description: partial 16S ribosomal RNA
Rfam family: Bacterial small subunit ribosomal RNA
Source: RNAcentral
GAUGAACGCUGGCGGCGUGCUUAACACAUGCAAGUCGAACGAUGAAGCCCAGCUUGCUGGGUGGAUUAGUGGCGAACGGGUGAGUAGCACGUGAGUAACCUGCCCUUAACUCUGGGAUAAGCCUGGGAAACUGGGUCUAAUACCGGAUAGGAGCGUCCACCGCAUGGUGGGUGUUGGAAAGAUUUAUCGGUUUUGGAUGGACUCGCGGCCUAUCAGCUUGUUGGUGAGGUAAUGGCUCACCAAGGCGACGACGGGUAGCCGGCCUGAGAGGGUGACCGGCCACACUGGGACUGAGACACGGCCCAGACUCCUACGGGAGGCAGCAGUGGGGAAUAUUGCACAAUGGGCGCAAGCCUGAUGCAGCGACGCCGCGUGAGGGAUGACGGCCUUCGGGUUGUAAACCUCUUUCAGUAGGGAAGAAGCGAAAGUGACGGUACCUGCAGAAGAAGCACCGGCUAACUACGUG